This 86-nucleotide transfer RNA is filed under the name Seleniivibrio woodruffii. It matches the Rfam family "tRNA". Rfam says of the family: Transfer RNA (tRNA) molecules are approximately 80 nucleotides in length. Their secondary structure includes four short double-helical elements and three loops (D, anti-codon, and T loops). RNAcentral also lists the same sequence under 1 other name. The record is from Rfam by way of RNAcentral. Lineage: Bacteria; Pseudomonadati; Deferribacterota; Deferribacteres; Deferribacterales; Geovibrionaceae.
GCCGAGGUGGUGGAACUGGUAGACACGCAGGACUAAGGAUCCUGUGGGCGUCAAAGCCUGUGGGGGUUCGAGUCCCCCUCUCGGCA